This 75-nucleotide transfer RNA is filed under the name Bacillota bacterium. RNAcentral describes it as "tRNA-Gln". It matches the Rfam family "tRNA". Rfam says of the family: Transfer RNA (tRNA) molecules are approximately 80 nucleotides in length. The record is from RNAcentral. Lineage: Bacteria; Bacillati; Bacillota.
UGGGGUGUAGCCAAGCGGUAAGGCAACGGUCUCUGAUAUCGUCAUUCACUGUUUCGAAUCCAGUCUCCCCAGCCA